Molecule: transfer RNA, 56 nt
Filed under: Drosophila lacicola
Lineage: Eukaryota; Metazoa; Arthropoda; Insecta; Diptera; Drosophilidae
Description: tRNA-Arg
Source: RNAcentral
CCCGAAUAUGAAGCGAUAUAUUGCAUUUAGUUUCGACCUAAUCUUAGGUAAUUUUA